This 549-nucleotide ribosomal RNA is filed under the name Williopsis jadinii. RNAcentral's name for it is "Cyberlindnera jadinii partial large subunit ribosomal RNA". It matches the Rfam family "Eukaryotic large subunit ribosomal RNA", at positions 98 to 656 of the family's 3401-position model. The record is from RNAcentral. Lineage: Eukaryota; Fungi; Ascomycota; Saccharomycetes; Phaffomycetales; Wickerhamomycetaceae.
GCGGCAAAAGCUCAAAUUUGAAAUCUGAGGCUUUCAGCCCCCGAGUUGUAAUUUGAAGAUGGUGUUCUGGUGCCGGCCCCCUGUCUACGUUCCUUGGAACAGGACAUCACAGAGGGUGAGAAUCCCGUCUGGCGGGGCGGCCUGGCUCCGUGUAGAGCGCCAUCGACGAGUCGAGUUGUUUGGGAAUGCAGCUCUAAGUGGGUGGUAAAUUCCAUCUAAAGCUAAAUAUUGGCGAGAGACCGAUAGCGAACAAGUACAGUGAUGGAAAGAUGAAAAGAACUUUGAAAAGAGAGUGAAAAAGUACGUGAAAUUGUUGAAAGGGAAGGGUAUUGGAUCAGACUUGGUGCUGUGCGAAUAGCGGCCCUUCUUGGGCUGCCCACUCGCACUCCACCGGGCCAGCAUCGGUUUGGGCGGCAAGACAAUGGCGGGGGAACGUGGCACUGCUCUCGGGCAGUGUGUUUAUAGCCCCCGCUGAUGUUGCCUGCCUAGACCGAGGACUGCGGCUUCUGCCUAGGAUGCUGGCGUAAUGAUCCAACACCGCCCGUCUUG